This 395-nucleotide unclassified non-coding RNA is filed under the name Hevea brasiliensis (rubber tree). Lineage: Eukaryota; Viridiplantae; Streptophyta; Magnoliopsida; Malpighiales; Euphorbiaceae. The record is from RNAcentral.
GCAAAUAAUUUACCUUGGCCAUUCAAACGGGAUGCCAUGAACAAGGUUUUCCCUCCUGGAGCAGCACAACAAUCAAUUAUGUUCUCACCAGGCUGUGGAUCAACAAUAGAGACUACUAAUCCGGCACUUUCAUCCUGGACUGCACAGAAGCCUUCUUUUAGUAACCCAGCCUGUAUAACAUUCUGCAUUCCAGUUUUUAGACGAACAAAAUCAUCCAAGUAUAGAGAAGGCUCAUGUGGGACCUUUAACAUGUUAAGCCUUGAGACGAGAUCAGCCCCUGUCAAACCUUUCCCAGUAUUUGCCCUUAGACUGAAGCUGGGAUAGCUGUUAUUCCAUGUCAUAAGCUUAAUAGCUUCGUCCUGUCCAAAAUACUUUGUCCAUCUUCUUACCAUCCA